GGGUUGCUUAACACAUGCAAGUCGAACGGCAGCACGAGAGAGCUUGCUCUCUUGGUGGCGAGUGGCGGACGGGUGAGUAACGCGUAGGAAUCUGCCUAGUAGUGGGGGACAACUCGGGGAAACUCGAGCUAAUACCGCAUACGCCCUACGGGGGAAAGCGGGGGAUCUUCGGACCUCGCGCUAUUAGAUGAGCCCGCGUUGGAUUAGCUUGUUGGUGAGGUAAUGGCUCACCAAGGCGACGAUCCAUAGCUGGUCUGAGAGGACGAUCAGCCACACUGGGACUGAGACACGGCCCAGACUCCUACGGGAGGCAGCAGUGGGGAAUAUUGGACAAUGGGCGAAAGCCUGAUCCAGCAAUACCGCGUGUGUGAAGAAGGCCUGCGGGUUGUAAAGCACUUUCAAUUGGGAAGAAAAGCUUAGGGUUAAUAACUCUGAGUCUUGACGUUACCUUUAGAAGAAGCACCGGCUAACUCCGUGCCAGCAGCCGCGGUAAUACGGAGGGUGCAAGCGUUAAUCGGAAUUACUGGGCGUAAAGCGCGCGUAGGUGGUUUUGUAAGUCAGAUGUGAAAGCCCUGGGCUCAACCUGGGAAUUGCAUUUGAUACUGCAUGACUAGAGUAUAGUAGAGGGAAGCGGAAUUCCGGGUGUAGCGGUGAAAUGCGUAGAUAUCCGGAGGAACAUCAGUGGCGAAGGCGGCUUCCUGGACUAAUACUGACACUGAGGUGCGAAAGCGUGGGUAGCAAACAGGAUUAGAUACCCUGGUAGUCCACGCCGUANACGAUGUCAACUAGCCGUUGGACUCAUUAUAAGGGUUUAGUGGCGAAGCUAACGCGAUAAGUUGACCGCCUGGGGAGUACGGCCGCAAGGUUA
RNAcentral lists this ribosomal RNA (868 nucleotides) under uncultured bacterium. Its description in RNAcentral is "bacterial SSU rRNA". It matches the Rfam family "Bacterial small subunit ribosomal RNA", at positions 41 to 896 of the family's 1533-position model. The record is from RNAcentral.